UGAAGACGUUCCAAGUGUUAACACUAAAACGAGAGUGCGGUCAAAUUGACCACACUUUCUAGGAAUUUCUUUACAGAAUUCCAAGAAAGAUAAUGGCACGUUUUUCUGGUGUUAGUUUAUCAUUGAUUCCUUAACA
Bradysia coprophila is the source of this 136-nucleotide long non-coding RNA. The record is from RefSeq and is a predicted model, not a curated record. NCBI's taxonomy places the organism in Eukaryota, Metazoa, Arthropoda, Insecta, Diptera, Sciaridae.